Molecule: long non-coding RNA, 745 nt
Filed under: Olea europaea (common olive)
Lineage: Eukaryota; Viridiplantae; Streptophyta; Magnoliopsida; Lamiales; Oleaceae
Description: long non-coding RNA (OEUR_LNC010809)
Source: RNAcentral
AAGAAAUGCGAGGACUUUUUUGAUUGGUCUUGAGGCGUAAUUUUUGGUACAGUGGUGGAGAAAUAUAUGGCCUCAAGGAAGAACAGCAACACUAUGCUGAUAUGUAUUGGACUUUCUGGUGUGAAUGAAAGAUCACUCUUGCCAUAACAGGCACUUCUGUUCUGUUGGCUAAUGAGGUUCCUCCAAACCUGCAAAUGUGUCUUAACAGUCACUGACUGGGCUAUAAUUGUCAUUAUAGCAGCACAAAAGAAGGAAAAAAAUAAAAUAAUUGUGCCAAUGCGUUUCUUGUACUACUUAGCAUGCAACGGAGAGAGAAUGAAGAGUAUACAGCCAUCAGCUCCCUUAUCUACAAUCCCAUAAUAUUAUGCUAAAUGACAAUCAAACUGCAUUGACGUUAAUAUACUAGCUAGCAGUCACACAGGUUUCUAUAAUAAAAUGGGCAAGAAUUUUGAAAAAUAACAAAAUUACAUUAUAGGUCACAGCAACUACAUCAAAAUUUUGAAAAUAACAAAACUACCCAGUUCCAUUAUGUCAACAAAGUGAUUGCAACUUGCAAGUGAAAGGGAUCAUUGAGAUACCUUGCCGUUUUGUAUGAAGAGGAACAGCAGGAAUAGGAUGUGGAAUAUACUUCUGUUGGUAAGUUCCGGAAUGAUGUUUAACAAAUUGAGAAACUAUCUUCGGGCGUUGAACUAAUGGAGCAGCCAGAGAAUUUUCAUUUGCUCUUCUUGAAAGAGAUGGCGGAUAA